UUUCCGUAGGUGAACCUGCGGAAGGAUCAUUAACACGAAACAAAAAACGUAAUUCCUGUUACGUUUUUUUAUCAACCAAACCGUGCUCUUGUGGGCUGGAGAAAUGCGAACAAAAGGUUGACACCUGGAAGAGAUUAACGAGCAUUGGUUCGGCGAUUGUAGAAAAUGGCUCUUUCGGGGGCUUGCUUCUCUCGUUGGUCCUUGGCCUUUUUUCUCGACUUGUGAGCCCCUGAUGUUUUCUUCUCCAACUGAAGCCCUAUUUUUUUUUCUCAAACCCCAUAACAACAUUUCUACUGAUAUAAUAAUUGUCUGAAAAGACUUUUAUUCAAACUCUGUACAACUCUUAGCAAUGGAUAUCUCGGCUCUC
Molecule: unclassified non-coding RNA, 367 nt
Filed under: soil metagenome
Description: partial contains small subunit ribosomal RNA, internal transcribed spacer 1, and 5.8S ribosomal RNA
Source: RNAcentral